RNAcentral lists this ribosomal RNA (450 nucleotides) under uncultured bacterium. RNAcentral's name for it is "partial 16S ribosomal RNA". It matches the Rfam family "Bacterial small subunit ribosomal RNA", at positions 354 to 796 of the family's 1533-position model. The record is from RNAcentral.
GUGGGGAAUUUUGGACAAUGGGCGCAAGCCUGAUCCAGCAAUGCCGCGUGCAGGAAGAAGGCCUUCGGGUUGUAAACUGCUUUUGUACGGAACGAAACGGUCCUGGUUAAUACCUGGGGCUAAUGACGGUACCGUAAGAAUAAGCACCGGCUAACUACGUGCCAGCAGCCGCGGUGAUACGUAGGGUGCGAGCGUUAAUCGGAAUUACUGGGCGUAAAGCGUGCGCAGGCGGUGCUGUAAGACAGGCGUGAAAUCCCCGGGCUCAACCUGGGAAUUGCGCUUGUGACUGCAGUGCUGGAGUACGGCAGAGGGGGAUGGAAUUCCGCGUGUAGCAGUGAAAUGCGUAGAUAUGCGGAGGAACACCGAUGGCGAAGGCAGUCCCCUGGGCCUGUACUGACGCUCAUGCACGAAAGCGUGGGGAGCAAACAGGAUUAGAUACCCUGGUAGUCC